This 900-nucleotide ribosomal RNA is filed under the name Triticum aestivum (bread wheat). RNAcentral's name for it is "partial small subunit ribosomal RNA". The record is from RNAcentral. Lineage: Eukaryota; Viridiplantae; Streptophyta; Magnoliopsida; Poales; Poaceae.
AUGGCCACGAGCGCGGCGACGCCGGCGCGCGCGCUCCCGGCCGCCGAGUCCUCCUCUGCCACGGGCGCCAACGCGGGCGACAGCGAGCCGAGCGGGGAGAGCGAAGGGGCCAUGAUGGGCGACAGCUCGGGCGCCAUGGCCGGCGCCGGCUCCGGUGCCAUCGUGGGCGACGGAGUCGGGGCGAUGAUCGGAGCCGGUGUCGGUGCCGGUGAAAGGGGCGCCGGUGCCGGCGUUGCCACGGGAGCCAUGAGCAGGGGUGACGGAGCCAUUGCGGGAGGCGCGGUGGCCGGUGGUGUUGCCAUGGGUGCGGCCACUGGGGCCGGAAGCGGCGCGGCGACGGUGGGUGGCAUCGCCGGAGGGGCCGCGGUCACUGCGAGAGGGGGUGCAGAGACGGGUGGCGAUGAGGUGGCAGUGAAUGGCGGAGAGGCAACAGUGGACGCCGCAGGCGACGUGGCUGUGAGUGGUGCAGCGGCGAAGCUCUUUGUCGGAGCUGACGCGGCAGCAAACUGCGGCGAGGCAGCCGUUGUCGGCGGAGCUACCGCCGCAGCCUGCGGCGCCGAGGCAGCGACGGUCGUCGGAGGUGCUGCAGACACCUGUGACGGCGAGGCGGCCGAGGUCGUCGGCGGUGCCGCAGACACCUGUGACGGCGAGGCGGCCGAGAACGUCGGCGGCGCUGCAGACACCUGCGACGGCGAGGAGGCCUGCGGCGGUGAUUUCACCGUUGUCGGCGCCGCGGCGAACGUCUGCGGCGGGAAGGCGCCGACCGGGGCAGCCUUGGACGCGGACGGCGACUGCGCGGCGCAGGAGACGAGGAGCAGCGAGAGGAGGAGAGGAACGAGCGCCAUUGCUGGUUGCUGUUUAGCUCCCUCUCGUGCCUUCUCUUCUCUUCUUCCCAACUAG